UUCAGUGCUGGAGAUCAAACAGGCGUGAUGUGGUUGGAGGAGGAAAGGGAAAAGAAGAAGGCAGGGAACGGAGAGGGAGAACAGGAAGACAAAGGGACAAAAACAAGGGAGGUAGGGAGGAAAUAAGAAGUGAAGGUAGAAGGCAAAGGGAAAAUGAACAAAAAGAAGAUAUUCCCUGAAGGCACUGCCACCCAUUCCAAAUCCCUCGUCUAAUAACAGCCUGUCAGGGGUAUACUGUGCAAGUAGAGCAGCACCUGUUUUCUGGCUUGGAAUCAGAGGAGGCGGUGAUUCACAGGUGGUGCUGCAGCCGUGCUGUCAGACCAGUGGGGCGGGGAACCCUCGUCUGUCCCGUCUCCAAGGAAACCCUUGCAUAGGUGUCUGUCUGUUGUCAGGGUAACAGGGCAAAGGGGGAACGCUGGAGAGGAAAAUACCGAUGGAGACGAGGGGGCCGGAGGAGGGCUGAUGUGGAGACGACAAAGACAAGGCGGGGCCGCAGACGCUCGGUCAGCUGAGACCUUUCCACCGUGGUUAAAAAUGCAUGGUCGGACUGAAUAUGAAGGAGCAGCUGUGUGGCAGAGCAUGUAUGGAUAUGAUAAUGGUUCCAAAAACAGGUUUUAAUGCUGCUAUUGCAUUCUAGUUUAACAAAGAUUGCAUCAUUCACUGGAGACACAGUUCUUAGAAAAAUGUACGAUUCCUCCCAAAUAUAUUUCAAUAGAUUUCUUGCACUGUGCUCCUUUAUCUUGUUCCUCGUUACCCACCCCCGUCCCUAGCCCUGUGUAAAACAACUUCAGCAGCAGCAGUAAGAGAAUGAGCCUUCGCUGGCCUAGUUUCACAGAGCUGAAGGGGGAAAGUGAGGGCAAAAGGAAGAGAGAUUAUUUUUCUGUUAAUGUGUUCUCCUGUGAGAAAUAUCUACUGUAGUUCUCUAUCUUCCACCAAUCACACCAACUCCACUCUGUUCCUUCACUGCCAAGUUUGUCACAGCCAAUGAAUGACCUUUAAAUGAUAUUUCAUUCUAAUUAUAUUAUAUAACUACAGUUUAUCAUAUAAGCCCAUAUAUAGUGGUGUACAUUGCUAGAUGCCACUAUAGGUUAAGACAGCAGUGGUAGUGCAGAUCACAACUUCAGCCUCCUCUUCCAAGCACAAAAAACGCAAACGGUCCUGUCUAGAGCCAGUGUUUGCCUACACAGGUUUUCAAUGUCAAUGCAACUGUAUUAUCUCUGAAUCUGAACACAGUGUAGAAACAGAGUAGAGUUAUGGUAGUUUGAGUUUCUUGAAGUGAGGCCAUAGUUCGGACCGUUUCUUCCUAUGCUCUUUCUUGUUCGUAGAAACUUGACAUAAUUGUUUUGCAAUGUGCAACUGUCAGAAAAACAUGCCAGCAUCGAUAAAAGGAACUGGUAUACUCGGAGGCAUGUGAUUCUGAUGGAUCAGACAGUUUGGAGCCGGUUCUCAACCAGAACCAGUCCUUGAUUCCCUUCCCUAGUGCAGAUUACAAAGAAGUCCACAUUUCUGAUCAAAUUUGACGUUUUGGUUCUGAUUGUUAAGUGGGGCCCCUGUGACCUGUGUAUAAGGAACCUUUGUUGCAUAUUAUUCCUUUCACUCUGUCUGUUACCCAUGUUUCCUGUAUAUCUCAGGCAAUACAAUACAGGCUAAAAUGCCUAAAAGGAGUAGAUAUAGAGGAGUCCCUAAUGUAGCUUCAAGUGUGUUGUUACAGAAUAAAAAGGAGGUUCCAGUGUACAGGGAUUUAGUCUGAUUUAUUCUACCAAAGCCAUAUAGGACACUUUAAUGAAUAGCUGUACUCUGAACUGUGAGUGCAUGAUUUAAUCACCAUAAGUCAUUCACUGGUGAGCCCCAGUGGUAAACAGUUUAAAUAAGCUUUUCUUACAAAUGUUCUCAUUCCUAUAUUUCUAAUAGGAGUGCUCGGGGCAUUCCUUUGCUUGUUGUUGGCACUGAUGAUAGAUGGUGGGGUUGGUGGAGAAGCAGUCUGAACAAGUAACAAAACAAACUGAUGUACAGAGAAGCACUUACAGAAUGCAGACACAGAGAGUGGAUACUGCUUAAAAAUGCUGCUCAUAAACAGUAUCAACAGUGUGGUUUGAAAUGUAUAUUGUAAAUCUCAAGACUGAGCAUUUUUGAACUUUGCCGCUAUCUGCUGGUAUUAUUUAAAAUGCACAUCACUAUAUAGGCUAAUUUCUACCAUUACAUAACCUAAUAUAAUAUGACACAUCAUCUACACAUAGUGACUUAGAUGAUUAAUGGGCUGUGAUGAAGCUGACAGUACAGUGGGGUUGGUUCUGUGUCCAAUAGUGCUGUGAUACAAUGAAAAUCUUAAAACCACAGUAAGCCAGUUAGGGGCAACAAGCCGUAAAGACAACACUGACAUAGAUCCACGUUAUAAAGUUGAUAUGGUUACAACAUCCAGCAGACACAGAGCAAUAUUAUUAUUCAUUCUGCUUGUGUCCACCUGAGGAAUGUAAGCACAGAGGCUGGAAGUAGGGGUGCUAAGAAGGCAGCAGCACCCCCUAAAAUCUGUCACAAUUAGAACCAUUCAUUCAUAAAAAUGUUCAAAUUUAUAGUUCUCUUUUAGUGGAACAUGUGUACACUGGUAUUAUGGCAGGAAAGAAAUAUUUAAGUUAUAAAAUGUAUGUUGUUAACUAUUAAAUAGGCAAUAAAGUAUACUGGCAAUUCA
Molecule: long non-coding RNA, 2686 nt
Organism: Dicentrarchus labrax (European seabass)
Lineage: Eukaryota; Metazoa; Chordata; Actinopteri; Moronidae
Exons: 2
Source: RefSeq, a predicted model, not a curated record